This 509-nucleotide ribosomal RNA is filed under the name uncultured bacterium. Its description in RNAcentral is "bacterial SSU rRNA". It matches the Rfam family "Bacterial small subunit ribosomal RNA", at positions 19 to 518 of the family's 1533-position model. The record is from RNAcentral.
CUGGCUCAGGAUGAACGCUAGCGAUAGGCUUAACACAGUGCAAGUCGAGGGGCAGCACGGUGUAGCAAUACACUGGUGGCGACCGGCGUACGGGUGCGUAACACGUAUGCAACCUACCCGCUAUUGGGGGAUAACCCGGCGAAAGUCGGACUAAUACCCCAUAUUAUUCUUACCGGGCAUCCGGUAGGUCUGAAAGAUUUAUCGAUUGCGGAUGGGCAUGCGGAUGAUUAGCUAGUAGGUGGGGUAACGGCUCACCUAGGCGACGAUCAUUAGGGGUUCUGAGAGGAAGGUCCCCCACACUGGAACUGAGACACCGGUCCAGACUCCUACGGGAGGCAGCAGUGAGGAAUAUUGGUCAAUGGGCGCUAGCCUGAACCAGCCAAGUCGCGUGAAGGAUGACAGAAUCUAUGGUUUGUAAACUUCUUUUGCAGGGGAGUAAAGUGCGACACGUGUGUUGUAUUGCAAGUACCCUGCGAAUAAGCAUCGGCUAACUCCGUGCCAGCAGCUGC